This 427-nucleotide ribosomal RNA is filed under the name uncultured bacterium. RNAcentral describes it as "partial 16S ribosomal RNA". It matches the Rfam family "Bacterial small subunit ribosomal RNA", at positions 355 to 774 of the family's 1533-position model. The record is from RNAcentral.
UGGGGAAUAUUGGACAAUGGGGGCAACCCUGAUCCAGCCAUGCCGCGUGUGUGAAGAAGGCCUUUUGGUUGUAAAGCACUUUAAGCAGUGAAGAAGACUCCAUGGUUAAUACCCAUGGACGAUGACAUUAGCUGCAGAAUAAGCACCGGCUAACUCUGUGCCAGCAGCCGCGGUAAUACAGAGGGUGCAAGUGUUAAUCGGAAUUACUGGGCGUAAAGCGAGCGUAGGUGGCUUGAUAAGUCAGAUGUGAAAGCCCCGGGCUUAACCUGGGAACGGCAUCUGAUACUGUUAGGCUAGAGUAGGUGAGAGGAAGGUAGAAUUCCAGGUGUAGCGGUGAAAUGCGUAGAGAUCUGGAGGAAUACCGAUGGCGAAGGCAGCCUUCUGGCAUCAUACUGACACUGAGGUUCGAAAGCGUGGGUAGCAAACA